UGUCCGUUGGUCUAGGGGUACGACACGCGCUCUGUGUGCACGUGACCCAGGUUCGAGUCCUGGACGGACUA
This is a non-coding RNA of Halocaridina rubra (Hawaiian volcano shrimp), 71 nucleotides long. The record is from the annotation of a GenBank genome assembly. Lineage: Eukaryota; Metazoa; Arthropoda; Malacostraca; Decapoda; Atyidae.